RNAcentral lists this ribosomal RNA (879 nucleotides) under Hansenula anomala. Its description in RNAcentral is "Wickerhamomyces anomalus partial large subunit ribosomal RNA". It matches the Rfam family "Eukaryotic large subunit ribosomal RNA", at positions 37 to 931 of the family's 3401-position model. Lineage: Eukaryota; Fungi; Ascomycota; Saccharomycetes; Phaffomycetales; Wickerhamomycetaceae. The record is from RNAcentral.
AGCAUAUCAAUAAGCGGAGGAAAAGAAACCAACAGGGAUUGCCUCAGUAACGGCGAGUGAAGCGGCAAAAGCUCAAAUUUGAAAUCUAGCACCUUCGGUGUUCGAGUUGUAAUUUGAAGAUGGUAACCUUGGGUUUGGCUCUCGUCUAUGUUCCUUGGAACAGGACGUCAUAGAGGGUGAGAAUCCCGUCUGAUGAGAUGCCCAUUCCUAUGUAAGGUGCUAUCGAAGAGUCGAGUUGUUUGGGAAUGCAGCUCUAAGUGGGUGGUAAAUUCCAUCUAAAGCUAAAUAUUGGCGAGAGACCGAUAGCGAACAAGUACAGUGAUGGAAAGAUGAAAAGAACUUUGAAAAGAGAGUGAAAAAGUACGUGAAAUUGUUGAAAGGGAAGGGCAUUAGAUCAGACUUGGUGUUUUACGAUUAUCUUCUCUUCUUGAGUUGUGCACUCGUAUUUCACUGGGCCAGCAUCGAUUCGGAUGGCAAGAUAAUGGCAGUUGAAUGUGGCUUCACUUCGGUGGAGUGUUAUAGCUUCUGCUGAUAUUGCCUGUCUGGAUCGAGGGCUGCGUCUUUUGACUAGGAUGCUGGCGUAAUGAUCUAAUGCCGCCCGUCUUGAAACACGGACCAAGGAGUCUAACGUCUAUGCGAGUGUUUGGGUGUAAAACCCGUACGCGUAAUGAAAGUGAACGUAGGUGAGAGCUCUUUUUUGAGUGCAUCAUCGACCGAUCCUGAUGUUUUCGGAUGGAUUUGAGUAAGAGCAUAGCUGUUGGGACCCGAAAGAUGGUGAACUAUGCCUGAAUAGGGUGAAGCCAGAGGAAACUCUGGUGGAGGCUCGUAGCGGUUCUGACGUGCAAAUCGAUCGUCGAAUUUGGGUAUAGGGCGAAAGAC